This 1200-nucleotide long non-coding RNA is filed under the name Helianthus annuus (common sunflower). RNAcentral describes it as "hypothetical non coding rna". The record is from RNAcentral. Lineage: Eukaryota; Viridiplantae; Streptophyta; Magnoliopsida; Asterales; Asteraceae.
GAUUAUUUAUAUAAUAGAAAAAUGCAAUUUGAGUCCCAGAGGAUUGAUUCUGGGUUUGAUUUUGGGUUCCAUUUGAUGAUUUUUGGUUGAUUUUGAAAAAAACAGAGGGUUGAUUUUGGGUUCCAUUCGAUGAUUUUGGGUUCCAUUCGAUGAUUUUGGGUUUAUUUUAAAAAAACAGAGGGUUGAUUUUGGGUUUGAUGUAUCAACAGAGGUUUUGAAUAUGGGUUUGAAUGUGUUUUGGUUUUGAUUCUUGUGGGUUUGAAUGUGGGUUUGAAUGUGUUUUGGUUUUGAUUCUUGUGGGUUUGAAUGUGGGUUUGAUGUGUUUUGGUUUUGAUUUUUGGUUUGAAUGUGUUAGGGUAUCAAAACAGAGGGUUUGAAUGUGGGUUUGAAUGUGUUUUGGUUUUGAUUCUUGUGGGUUUGAAUGUGUUAUGGUUUUGAUUCUUGUGUGUUCAUCAUAUUGAUUUUUGGUUUGAUUCCAUGAUUUGGGUUCCUCAUAUUAAAGAACUGAUCGGAUCAGUGGUUUUCAAUGUGUUUUGGUUUUGAUUCUUGUGUGUUCAUCAUAUUGAUUUUUGGUUUGAUUCGAUGAUUUGGGUUCCUCAUAUUAAGAACUGAUCGGAUCAGUUUCGGAUUGAAUGUGUUCCUCAUUUGAAUGUGUUUUGUUGUACAGAAUGGCUGCGGAUGUAAAGAUACGCAAAACACCAACUACGAAGGCGAGAACACUUGACAACCUCCUAUAAGAUGGUGCGGUGCACAUAAGGAAGUGAUUGAUAUGAAUGAAUAUAACCCCAGUCAGUGGUGGAACUAGAAGAAAUAUUCAGGGGGUUGUCCUAGUACUUGUUGAGGGGUGUCCUUAGUAUAAAAAUCGAAAAAAAAAAAAUAAAAUUUUACACUACCGGAAAAAAGUUGAGCCGUAGCCCGUGCUACGCCCCAACCUACAUUAGGUCCGCCCCUGACCCCAGUGGCAGAUAUGUAAUUACCUACACUGAGGUUAUAUUCAUUCAUAUCUGCUACAUUCCGAAAUGCACCCGUCAGUAAAGAUUCACAAUUGCUUGUGAAUCUUUGACGUUUUGUCUCUGUAUUGUAUGUUACGGUCUUUUGUUAUCGAGUUUGUAAGUUCCGUCAAGUCUACGAAGUUGGUAUGACGUUUUGUCUCUGUAUUGUAUGUAUUAAAAGUUUACAUUUAAUAUACAGUUUAGGCUU